UGAACUCAGGCGGGAGAGACCGGGGUUGUCGCACCCGGCGCCGAAGGAGCAAGUUCCUCCCCGGGAACCUCUCAGGCAUCCAGGACCGCGUGAGCGAG
Molecule: non-coding RNA, 98 nt
Filed under: Nocardia sp.
Lineage: Bacteria; Bacillati; Actinomycetota; Actinomycetes; Mycobacteriales; Nocardiaceae
Also listed under: 1 other name
Description: Glycine sequence
Rfam family: Glycine riboswitch aptamer
About the family: This family represents the bacterial glycine riboswitch.
Source: RNAcentral